AACGAACGCUGGCGGCAUGCCUAACACAUGCAAGUCGAACGAAGUCUUCGGACUUAGUGGCGCACGGGUGCGUAACGCGUGGGAAUCUGCCCUUGGGUACGGAAUAACUCAGAGAAAUUUGUGCUAAUACCGUAUAAUGUCUUCGGACCAAAGAUUUAUCGCCCAAGGAUGAGCCCGCGUAAGAUUAGCUAGUUGGUGGGGUAAAAGCCUACCAAGGCGACGAUCUUUUGCUGGUCUGAGAGGAUGAUCAGCCACACUGGGACUGAGACACGGCCCAGACUCCUACGGGAGGCAGCAGUGGGGAAUAUUGGACAAUGGGCGAAAGCCUGAUCCAGCAAUGCCGCGUGAGUGAUGAAGGCCCUAGGGUUGUAAAGCUCUUUUACCAGGGAUGAUAAUGACAGUACCUGGAGAAUAAGCUCCGGCUAACUCCGUG
RNAcentral lists this ribosomal RNA (433 nucleotides) under uncultured bacterium. Its description in RNAcentral is "partial 16S ribosomal RNA". It matches the Rfam family "Bacterial small subunit ribosomal RNA", at positions 29 to 507 of the family's 1533-position model. The record is from RNAcentral.